AGCGAACGUUAGCGGCGGGCCUAACACAUGCAAGUCGAACGAGAAAACCCCUUCGGGGGUGAGUACAGUGGCGCACGGGUGAGGAACGCGUAGGUAAUCUACCCUUCGGCGGGGGACAACAUUUCGAAAGGAAUGCUAAUACCGCGUAAGACCACGAUCACUACGGUGGAUGUGGUUAAAGAUGGCCUCUUCUUGAAAGCUAUCACCGAAGGACGAGCCUGCGUCCCAUCAGCUUGUUGGUAAGGUAAUGGCUUACCAAGGCUAAGACGGGUAGCUGGUCUGAGAGGAUGAUCAGCCACACUGGCACUGGAACACGGGCCAGACUCCUACGGGAGGCAG
Molecule: ribosomal RNA, 339 nt
Filed under: uncultured Pseudomonadota bacterium
Lineage: Bacteria; Pseudomonadati; Pseudomonadota
Description: bacterial SSU rRNA
Rfam family: Bacterial small subunit ribosomal RNA
Source: RNAcentral